Molecule: ribosomal RNA, 790 nt
Filed under: Clostridioides difficile
Lineage: Bacteria; Bacillati; Bacillota; Clostridia; Peptostreptococcales; Peptostreptococcaceae
Description: bacterial LSU rRNA
Rfam family: Bacterial large subunit ribosomal RNA
Source: RNAcentral
GCAGCCACUCAUUCAAAGAGUGCGUAAUAGCUCACUGGUCGAGUGAUCCUGCGCCGAAGAUUGCCGGGGCAAAAGCUUUCGAACGAAGCUACGGCAUCAGUAAUGAUGGGUAGGGGAGCUGCCCAUACGGGUGGAAGAAUGACCGUAAGGACAUGUGGACAGUAUGGGAGUGGGAAUGUUGGCAUGAGUAGCGAGAUGUGGGUGGGAAUCCCACAGGCCGUAAACCCAAGGUUUCCAGGGGAAGGUUCGUCCGCCCUGGGUUAGUCGGGACCUAAGCUGAGGCCGAAAGGCGUAGGUGAUGGACAACAGGUUGAUAUUCCUGUACUACCGAUAACCGUUUGAGAGAAGGGAUGACACAGUAGGAUAAGCUAAGCACACUGUUGGUUAUGUGUGCCCAAGCAUUGAGGCAGUCAAAGUAGGCAAAUCCGCUUUGAUAAUGCUGGGAUGUGAUGGGGAGCGAAAUUUAGUAGCGAAGUAGCUGAUUUCACACUGUCAAGAAAAGUCUCUAUCGAGGUUAAAGGUACCCGUACCGCAAACCGACACAGGUGGGUGAGGAGAGUAUCCUAAGGCCAGCGAGAGAACUGUUGUUAAGGAACUCGGCAAAAUGACCCCGUAACUUAGGGAUAAGGGGUGCCACCAUCAGGUGGCCGCAGAGAAUAGGCCCAAGCGACUGUUUACCAAAAACAUAGGUUUCUGCUAAGUCGCAAGACGAUGUAUAGGAGCUGACGCCUGCCCGGUGCUGGAAGGUUAAGGGGAUCUGUUAGAGCAAUCGAAGCAGUGAACUUAAGCC